This 300-nucleotide signal recognition particle RNA is filed under the name Castor canadensis (American beaver). RNAcentral describes it as "Metazoan signal recognition particle RNA (ENSCCNG00000024185.1)". It matches the Rfam family "Metazoan signal recognition particle RNA". From Rfam's summary of the family: The signal recognition particle (SRP) is a universally conserved ribonucleoprotein. It is involved in the co-translational targeting of proteins to membranes. The eukaryotic SRP consists of a 300-nucleotide 7S RNA and six proteins: SRPs 72, 68, 54, 19, 14, and 9. The record is from RNAcentral. Lineage: Eukaryota; Metazoa; Chordata; Mammalia; Rodentia; Castoridae.
CCUGGGUGUGGUAGUGUACACCUGUAGUCCUAGCUACCUGGGAAGCUUUGGGAGGUGGAUUGCUUCAGGCAAUGAGUUCCUGACUAUAGUGCACACUAUGCUGUUUGGGUGUCUGCACUAGGGUCAGCAUCAAUAUAGUGACUUCCCAGGAGCAGUGGACCACCAGAUUGUCUAAGGAGGGGUGAACCUACCCAGAUAAAAAAUGGAGCUGGUCAACACUCCCAAGCAGUUCAGUAAGUAGGAUGGCAUCUGUGAAUGGACACAAAUCCAUCCUGAACAGCACAGAGAGACUCCAUCUCU